Piliocolobus tephrosceles (Ugandan red Colobus) is the source of this 480-nucleotide RNA transcript. It is a transcript of the gene named 60S ribosomal protein L31 pseudogene, with no coding region annotated. The transcript has a single exon. Lineage: Eukaryota; Metazoa; Chordata; Mammalia; Primates; Cercopithecidae. The record is from RefSeq and is a predicted model, not a curated record.
CUUCUCCCACAAUACCUCGCGCUCUUCCUUUCCAACUUGGACCCGGCAGAAUGGCUCCCGCAAAGAAGGGUGGCGAGAAGAAAAAGGGCCGUUCUGCUAUCAACGAGGUGGUGACCCGAGAAUACACCAUCAACAUUCACAAGCGCAUCCAUGGAGUGGGCUUCAAGAAGCGUGCCCCUCGGGCACUCAAAGAGAUUCGGAAAUUUGCCAUGAAGGAGAUGGGAACUCCAGAUAUGCGCAUUGAUACCAGGCUCAACAAAGCUGUCUGGGCCAAAGGAAUAAGGAAUGUCCCAUACCGAAUCCGUGUGCGGCUGUCCAGAAAACGUAAUGAGGAUGAAGAUUCACCAAAUAAGCUCUACACUUUGGUUACCUAUGUACCUGUUACCACUUUCAAAAAUCUACAGACAGUCAAUGUGGAUGAGAACUAAUCGCUGAUCAUCAAAUACAUCAAAUAAAGUUAUAAAAUUGAAAAAAAAAAAA